RNAcentral lists this ribosomal RNA (515 nucleotides) under uncultured bacterium. RNAcentral's name for it is "partial 16S ribosomal RNA". It matches the Rfam family "Bacterial small subunit ribosomal RNA", at positions 28 to 523 of the family's 1533-position model. The record is from RNAcentral.
GAUGAACGCUGGCGGCGUGCCUAAUACAUGCAAGUCGAGCGAAUGGAUUAAGAGCUUGCUCUUAUGAAGUUAGCGGCGGACGGGUGAGUAACACGUGGGUAACCUGCCCAUAAGACUGGGAUAACUCCGGGAAACCGGGGCUAAUACCGGAUAACAUUUUGAACCGCAUGGUUCGAAAUUGAAAGGCGGCUUCGGCUGUCACUUAUGGAUGGACCCGCGUCGCAUUAGCUAGUUGGUGAGGUAACGGCUCACCAAGGGAACGAUGCGUAGCCGACCUGAGAGGGUGAUCGGCCACACUGGGACUGGGACACGGCCCAGACUCCUACGGGAGGCAGCAGUAGGGAAUCGUCCGCAAUGGACGAAAGUCUGACGGAGCAACGCCGCGUGAGUGAUGAAGGCUUUCGGGUCGUAAAACUCUGUUGUUAGGGAAGAACAAGUGCUAGUUGAAUAAGCUGACACCUUGACGGUACCUAACCAGAAAGCCACGGCUAACUACGUGCCAGCCGCCGCAGUAA